GACGAACGCUGGCGGCGUGCUUAACACAUGCAAGUCGAACGAAGUGGCGAACGGGUGAGUAACGCGUAAUCAACCUGCCCUUCAGAGGGGGACAACAGUUGGAAACGACUGCUAAUACCCCAUAAUGAAGGAGGGGAUUGCGUUUGAUUAGCUAGUUGGGGGGGUAACGGCCCACCAAGGCGAGGAUCAGGAGCCCGGCUGGGAGGAUGAACGGCCACAUUGGGACUGGAACACGGCCCAGACCCCUACGGGGGGCAGCAGUGGGGAAUCUUCCGAAAUGGAGGAAAGUCUGACGGAGCAACGCCGCGUGAGUGAUGACGGCCUUCGGGGUGUAAAGCUCUGUUAAUCGGGACGCGGUACCGGAAUAGAAAGCCACGGCUAACUACGUGCCAGCAGCCGCGGUAAUAC
Molecule: ribosomal RNA, 408 nt
Filed under: uncultured bacterium
Lineage: Bacteria
Description: partial 16S ribosomal RNA
Rfam family: Bacterial small subunit ribosomal RNA
Source: RNAcentral